This is a long non-coding RNA of Magallana angulata, 1896 nucleotides long. RefSeq lists it as uncharacterized. The record is from RefSeq and is a predicted model, not a curated record. The transcript has 2 exons. Lineage: Eukaryota; Metazoa; Mollusca; Bivalvia; Ostreida; Ostreidae.
AUCUUUAGUAAUAUAAACAAUUCAAAAAUGAAUUUUAAAAAACCUUUUUUAAUAAAACAUGUACAAUUAAAACAUUUUUUUCUCAAAAAGAAUUAUUUCUUUCUUCUUUAAAAAUAAAUAUAAUCAAAUUCAAUUUCAACUAUUCAUUCAUUCAUCACAUUUUUUUUAGAGAACAUGCAUAAAUAUGCAUAGUAAUGCAAAGUAAUGCCAUGUAAUGCCAGCAUUACACUAGAUUUUGGAAAGUAAUGCAUUACAUUAUCAUUACUUGUAAUGCUAAUUUUGAGGCAUUACACAUUACUAGCAUUAUUUUGAAAAACAUGUAAUGCAUUGCAAUGCAUUACCAUUACAUUUAGCAUUACCCCAAGCCUGAUAUAAACCCAUUCUUUGGACAUCUUUAUGAUAAGAAGUCAAAUAUUAAAUGUACAUGACACGCUGUUUCAACUUUGUAUAAUACAGAUUAAAAUAAAUGUGUGGGGUGACAUUCGGUCCUUCACUUAUUUUAAACCAAUGUUAAAAUCUGGUCAGUGGUAAAUUACUACCAGGAUACGAAUUGUAAAUUGCAUAAUGAACGCAAUACGUCAGAUUAGGCGGGCAGAGUAUGGAUACAAGUAAUAUGGCGAUGACUAAGAGGGCACUGAACUAGUUAUGUAGCAUGAAAAAACUGUUUUUGUACUGGGGCUAACACAAAUUUAUCUACACAACCAAAGGUUGUAAACAUAGAAAGGUUAUAUGAAUGAAACCUAAAUUCCAAUGUUUUCACUAUUGUUAUUGAACAUCAAAUGGGUGACAAUUUAGCUUGGAUUGAGGCAUAAGACCAGAGUAAGAACUACUUCCGAUUUAUAAGCAGGAACUUAAGUUGAAGCACAUUAUCUCUUCUUAAACAAUCAGCGACUGUCCAAUGUUAAGUACCAAAAAAAUAUAUGCUGAAGAAUGUUGAUACACUUUUGAGCUUAAAAUAGAGAAAGAAAAUAGUAUUCAGUUGUUCUGGUAUUUAAAUUAUGAAAAUACACCCAUUUUGAAGUGUCGGUUUGCUGAGAACAGGACGUGUGUCCCACAAGAUGGUAGUCUUCUUAUAUUAUCAGUACUACUCAAUGUCCUAUAUAGGAAAUGGCCGAGUAACUCGCUUAAGUAGCCAUUUCUGGUUUCAAAUUGUAGUAUUUAUCAUAAUACACAGUGUAUGGACGAUGAAGCAGUCUGUAGUAUCUCCGGUACGCACAUUCAUCAUUGUUUCUAUGCUUAACGAUUUGGGAUUAAAUCUUAUGGUGUGACGCGACAUUCUGAGGAAAUGGCUUUGGUCCAUUUAGCAUGCGUUUUUCUUCUGUUGAUGGGAUUACCAGCAUCAUCAUCGAGUGAUUGCGAAACUUGUUUCAGUGCAUAUCAAUACAUGUGUGUGGAAACAACGUGUUACAGAGUCCCAACCACUAGGCUAUUCGAUAUGCGAUACCGUUUUCGAUGUAUUAGAAUGUGUCGUAUGAAGAAGGACUAUUGUGACUCAUUGUGUUUGACUACAAAACGUUAAUUCUGGUUCCGAAGGAACAUAUUCCAUGGAAUGUUACAUGCAGAAAGUGACUGCUUAAAAAUGCGAAUUGCAUACAUUUGGAGGUGACCAAAUGCGUAUUAAUGUUUAUUAUGAUGGAUUAUAACAAAAAGACGAUCUCAUUCAUGUUUUUUUUUCAUACUUACAACUGUGUACCAUUCAUUGUCAACUUUAAAGACAUUUUCUUCACAUUUUUGAUAGAGCCGGAUUUGUUGGGCAUUUUGUAAUGCCAGUAUGAGCGUCUCUGGAUGUUCAUGCAUAUUUUAAAUUAACUGAUCUCUUCAUUUAUCCACUAUUUCACUGCCACAGUUUGAUGUCGUAUGUUUUGUAUAAAUGUUAAUAAAAUUAUGAAAACAAGA